UUGGGGAAUAUUAGGCAAUGGGCGAAAGCCUGACCUAGCAACGCCGCGUGAAGGAAGAAGGCCUUCGGGUUGUAAACUUCUUUUAUGAGGGACGAAGGACGUGACGGUACCUCAUGAAUAAGCCACGGCUAACUACGUGCCAGCAGCCGCGGUAAUACGUAGGUGGCGAGCGUUGUCCGGAUUUACUGGGUGUAAAGGGCGCGUAGGCGGACUGGCAAGUCAGAUGUGAAAUACAGGGGCUCAACCCCUGAACUGCAUUUGAAACUGUUGGUCUUGAGUAUCGGAGAGGCAAGCGGAAUUCCUAGUGUAGCGGUGAAAUGCGUAGAUAUUAGGAGGAACACCAGUGGCGAAGGCGGCUUGCUGGACGAGAACUGACGCUGGGGCGCGAAAGCGUGGGGAGCAAACAGGAUUAGAUACCCGUGUAGUCC
This 428-nucleotide ribosomal RNA is filed under the name uncultured bacterium. RNAcentral's name for it is "partial 16S ribosomal RNA". It matches the Rfam family "Bacterial small subunit ribosomal RNA", at positions 354 to 796 of the family's 1533-position model. The record is from RNAcentral.